Bacillaceae bacterium is the source of this 348-nucleotide ribosomal RNA. It matches the Rfam family "Bacterial small subunit ribosomal RNA", at positions 1 to 338 of the family's 1533-position model. Lineage: Bacteria; Bacillati; Bacillota; Bacilli; Caryophanales; Bacillaceae. The record is from Rfam.
UUUUUGGAGAGUUUGAUCCUGGCUCAGGACGAACGCUGGCGGCGUGCCUAAUACAUGCAAGUCGAGCGGACGGAAGGGAGCUUGCUCCCGGAAGUCAGCGGCGGACGGGUGAGUAACACGUGGGUAACCUGCCUGUAAGACUGGGAUAACUCCGGGAAACCGGGGCUAAUACCGGAUAGCUUCUUCCUCCGCAUGGAGGAAGAAUGAAAGGCGGCCUUUGGCUGUCACUUACAGAUGGACCCGCGGCGCAUUAGCUAGUUGGUGGGGUAACGGCUCACCAAGGCGACGAUGCGUAGCCGACCUGAGAGGGUGAUCGGCCACACUGGGACUGAGACACGGCCCAGACUC